RNAcentral lists this small RNA (11449 nucleotides) under Arabidopsis thaliana (thale cress). Its description in RNAcentral is "ATSL165390". The stretch from base 10637 to 10848 matches the Rfam family "MIR854 microRNA precursor family". Lineage: Eukaryota; Viridiplantae; Streptophyta; Magnoliopsida; Brassicales; Brassicaceae. The record is from RNAcentral.
UCUAGCAUAUGUUGUUGGUAGAUUGCUCGCUUUAAGUUUUAUUAUUGCUUGCAUUGGUUGAGUUUGCAUCAUUUAGAAUAAUAUUGCUUGCAUUAGUUUCUUAAGCGCAACUAGGCAUGUGGAAUGGUAAACCCAUGCUUGUAUUGUUGCCUUAAGUAUUUUGAGUAUGUGUUGGUAGAAAAGUAGGGUUGGUUUCUAGUAUUUUUAGGAGCCUUAAGAACUGUAAAUAGUGGAACUUAGGAUUUUAGAUGAACCCUAGAAGUUUAGGUGGGAACACUUUACCCGGUUGAUCUUGUGGUGUUUUAUGGGCGUGUUGGGGAAAAAGCAAGGGUUGGUGUGUCAGGUAAGUAAGAUGUUAUGUGAUAGGGAAUCACAUACGUAAGAAUGAAACUUUAGUUGUGCCGUGUGAAAUCCGACCCCUAGAUCAGCAAGCAUGUCAAGGCAUCAUGUGAGAUAGGAAAUCACAUUUUAGAAGAGGAAUAAGAUAACCACUGUAAAGAAGAGAGAGCCGCUGCCAAACCUACUAUGGGAACAGCCCUAGUGUGGUUGAUAUUGCCAAUAGCCAUGAAGGAAGUACCCUUCACCGUGAUGAUCAAAGAAAAUGGAAAGAGCCGAUAGUAGAUAGUCGUAAAGGGAAUGAAGGGAAAGAGAGAGAGAGAGUGUCGUAGUUAUUUUAAUCAUGAGUAGACGCCAAGAGAGAGUGUGCAGACUAUUCUCGUAAGGACGAAGGGGAUCAACACAAAGUUAGAAAGGUCAUGUCGACCAAACGGAGAAGCAAUGGACUUCUGGCGGUACCGAGCAGACUUUCAGGUGAUGGUGUAAUCAAAGAAGAAGAUGUUGGUUGACCCAAACCGUAAGAUUUAAGAAGACUUGUGUGGUAAUGAAGUAAGGAAGAAGCAAAGACAACAAGAUGACAUAGAAAUUGCAGUUUCAGAGAAUGUGAAGCCCAAGACAAAGAGGAUUGUAUUAACUCGAAGGACGGAGUUAGUAUUUCCAGGGUGUAGAAGCAGGAAGUUUGUUGGAAGAGCUAGAAGGACACUAGCUCAAGAUCAAGUCAUAAUUCCAAGGAAGUAAGAAAUGACCAUUGUCAUUUCCAGAGAAUCAAAGAGAAGAAGAGGGAUGAAGCUCAAGACAAAGCCCUAGUUAUCCGAUGGAAAGGAUAAUUAGAAGAAGAGAGUAAGGCAUUCAAUCAUGAUAAGUGUGUAUUUUGCAUGUUUUCAGCAUCCAUUUGUCAUCACUUUAGCAUCAUAUCAUCAUUGUUUUAUACCAUUUCUCAUUAUUUGUCAUCACUUUACAUGUUUAGGAUAGAUUUGCAUGCAUGUUACAUAUUUGCGUUGAUUUCAGGUGAUUUGGAGCUGUUGACGAGCUAUCUGUAAGAAGCGAACCUGAUCAUGACAAAACCACUCGACCCAGAGGUCGAGUAGGAGCUUCAAGAUCUCAAGAGACCACUCGACCCCCAGGUCGAGUAGAAGACAUCACAACUUCACCUCACCACUCGACCACGAGGUCGAGCGUCUUCAUCUCCAUCACCUGACCAUCACUCGAUCACAUCACUCGACCCCGAGGUCGAGUGUCUUCAUCCCAUCACUUGACCAUCACUCGAUCACAUCACUCGACCCUGAGGUCGAGUGUCUUCAUCCCAUCACCUGACCAUCACUCGAUCACAUCACUCGACCCCGAGGCCGAGUGUCUUCACCUUCAUUGCCAUACCACUACUCGACCUCAUCACUCCACCUGGAGGUCGAGUAUCACUAUCACCACCACUCGACUGCAUACUCGAUGAUAAGCUUCAAAGCCUUCUUCAUUCCGCACUCAACCAGACACUCGAGCACAAGGAAGAAAAGAAGACUCUAGCUGUUCACUCAACCUCCCACUCGACCACAUGGGUCGAGUACAGUUCUUAAUCCGUCCCAAUACUUCGUCGUUUUGAGUAUUAGGGUUUCGGAAUAUUUGGCUAUAAGUAGCAUGUACUUCACAUUUUCGCAGCCAAGUUUUUAUCUAGUUUUAUUCCGCAGACCUUGUGUUCUAAACCUUUUGUAAUCCGGAUUUCUCUUUAUCUAUUCAGUAUUCAGUAUUCAGCUUUUGUUCUUGAUUUCGUUUACUGUUGUUCAUUCUGUUAUCAUCCUGCUGUUACACUGUUGUUAUCAUGUUUUCAACUUGUUCAACGUUUAUGCUUUCUGUUAUGAUGUCUGAGUAAUGAAUAGGUUUCUGAGGAUGGGUUAGAGUAGUGUAGGAUUCUCAGUAUGCUAGGUGAUUGAGUAUUGAUUGAUAGAUCCCUUCUGGAUUAGUUGUUUUAAUGCCUAUUGCUUUCUGAUCAACUGGAAUUUGAGCCCAGACAUUUCUGCGCCCAAAAGGUGUUCGAUGAAAUGUCUGAACCACUGAUUCCAGAGAUUCGUGACCCUGUACCAAGGUAUUGGCUUUAACUUGUUGAUUCGUAAUGCCUGUUAGGUUAGCUCUCGUCAAUGGUGAUUGAGUCUGAGACUAGGUUAACUUGAGAGUCUCUAUUGCGGUGGUACUUAGAUUUGGUUAAUGAACUUGUUGUCUAGGGUUAAUUUAUUGAGCAAAUCAAUCACCUGUAAACUGAGGAAACGAAACUACUCAAUUACCCCAUCCUCGGGAAUUCUUUAUCUGAUUGAAUUCUUUGUUUACUCUACUGUUGUUUACUGCAUCUUGUCAUUUGUUGCUUAGUUUCGGCAAUUCUUUACUGUUACUCGACCAGAUACUCGACCACCCAGUUGUCUGGCAACAGACUGUGCAGUCGAGUAUCCAUGUUGUACUUUCUGACUGUUACUCGACCAGAUACUCGACCACCCAGCUGUUUGGCAACAGACUGUGCAGUCGAGUAUCCCUGUUAUACUUUAUGUCUUUUACUCGACGUGUCACUCGACCUCACCCAGUGCUCUGCAAAGAGCUGUGUCGGUCGAGUGUCUUUUGUUUCUGCUUGAAUUUCUGUUUUCUACAUGUUCACUUAGAACUGCUAGAACACACUAAAACCUGUUAUUGCUUGGCUUGACUUAGUGACUUCUGAUCAUAUCUUGAUUGUUAGCAUCACACCCAUUUGGAUUGACAACCUAAAAUACUACAACGAUAUGAUUGGUGUUUUAGGAUAAUUGACUAAAAACCUAUUAUCAAUUUGGCGCUGUUGCCAAUUGGGUGUUUGUUUGUUACAUUUGAGAUUUGAGACUUGCUUAGAUCAAGUUCUUUUUCAAUUUUCUUUUCGGUUACUAACUGUGUGUUUUUCUUGUUGUCUUCUUGAUCCAUGUACACCUCUGCUGUAUGCGAACUCGAUCAACGGGCAAUCAGAACCUCCUUUUCAACGACAACAUCGACCGCAUAGCUCGUGAACUCAGAGAAAGGAGAAACACAGUCAACCCUGUAUCUCAGCAACCACUCGAUAUGGCUGACGAACAGAAUCAACAAAAUGGCCAUGCCAACAUUGGUGCUGGAGAUGCACCACGUGAUCACCGUCAGAGGAAAGGAAUUGCACCUCCUGCUAUCCAGAACAACAACUUCGAGAUUAAGAGUGGUCUCAUCUCGAAUAUUCAGGGGAAUAAAUUCCAUGGUCUGCCAAUGGAGGAUCCACUCGACCACCUAGAUGAAUUCGAUAGGCUCUACAACCUGACAAAGAUCAAUGGUGUCAGUGAAGACGAAUUAAAGCUCUGUUUGUUCCCAUUCUCCUUGGGCGACAAAGCACACAUCUGGGAGAAGAAUCUGCCCCAUGACUCAAUCACCACUUGGGAUGAUUGCAAGAAGGCUUUUCUAUCAAAGUUCUUCUCCAAUGCCAGAACUGCAAGACUCAGAAAUGAGAUUUCUAGUUUCUCACAGAAGACUGAUGAAAGCUUCUGUGAAGCAUGGAAGCGUUUAAAGGGUUACACCAACCAAUGCCCUCAUCAUGGCUUUACUAAAGCCUCUCUGCUCAGCACUCUUUACAGAGGAGUCCUACCACACAUCAGAAUACUUCUGGAUACCGCUAGCAAUGGGAAUUGGUUGAGAACUUGGCUCAAUCAGAUGGUAAUUACAACGAGGACUGUGAUAGGACCGUCAGAGGCACAUCAGACUCUGAUGACAAACACUGGAAGGAGAUCAAAGCGCUGAAUGACAAGCUGGACAGGAUUCUUCUUAGCUAGCAGAAGCAUGUGCACUUCCUUGUUGAUGACGAGCAGUUUCAAGUCCAAGAUGGGGAGGGUAACCAGUUGGAAGAAGUCAGCUACAUCAACAACAACCAGGGUGGCUACAAAGGAUACAACAACUUCAAAACCAACAAUCCCAACCUCUCCUACCGCAGCACCAUCGUUGCUAAUCCUCAGGAUCAAGUGUAUCCUCCACAGCAACAACAAGGUCAGAACAAACCUUUUGUUCCCUACAACCAAGGUUUCGUUCCUAAACAGCAAUUUCAGGGGAACUACCAGCCGCCACCACCACCUCGGUUUGCACAUCAGCAAAACCAAGGUCCUGCUGCUCCUGAGGCUGAUAUGAAACAAAUGCUACAACAGCUGCUUCACGCGCAAGCCUCUGGCUCCAUGGAGAUGGCAAAGAAGAUAUCUGAGUUACAUAACAAGUUGGACUGUAGCUACAAUGAUCUCAAUGUCAAGAUGGAAACACUAAAUACCAAAGUCCGAUACUUAGUGGGACAUUCUGCAUCUUCUUCAGCUCCAAAACAGACAAGCCAACUACCAGGCAAAGCAGUUCAGAAUCCAAAAGAAUAUGCUCAUGCUAUCACACUGCGUAAUGGAAAAGCACUUCCAACUAGGGAGGAACCAAAGACGGUCAUUGAGGACAGUGAAGAUCAAGAUGGGGAGGAUUUAAGUCUCGAGAACGAUCAAGCAGACAAACCACUCGAGCAACCACUCGACCAGUCACUCGAGCAACCACUCGACCAGUCACUCGAGCAACCACUCGACCUGUCACUCGAGCAACCACUCGAUCUGCCACUCGACAACGUUACUCGACCAACAACUCGACCUAUCUUCCCAGUAGCAUCACCAACUGCUCCAAAACCAGUUGCUGUCAAAAACAAAGAAAAGGUCUUUGUCCCUCUUCCCUACAAACCACAACUUCCAUUUCCUAGCUAUCACAAGAAUGCGUUGGCAGAUAAAUAUAGAGCUAUGUUUGCCAAGAAUAUUAAGGAGGUUGAGUUGGCAGACUAAGAUCAUCUUAACAGUGCUUUAACCAAAAGUGGUGAAGAUGGGUUUCUGCAUUAGGAAACAUUGGGAUACCAGAAGCUGUUAGACUCCCAUAAAGUGAUGGAAGAAUCAGAACCCUUUGAGGAAUUGAAUGGACCAGCAACGGAGGUAAUGGUAAUGAGCGAAGAAGGGUCAACUCGAGUUCAACCUGCACUCUCGAGGACGUACUCGACCAGCCACUCGGCCUUGUCUACCAACGAAUCUAGGGAGCCGAUCAUUCCAACUUCAGAUGACUGGUCUGAACUUAAGGCACUGAAGGUUGAUCUCAAACCACUUCCUAAAGGUCUAAGGUACGCAUUCCUUGGUCCAAACUCUACUUACCCUGUGAUCAUUAAUGCUGAGUUAAAUAGUGAUGAAGUGAACCUGCUAUUAUCUGAGCUUAGAAAGUAUAGGAGAGCGAUUGGUUAUUCAUUAUCCGACAUUAAGGGAAUUUCACCUAGUUUAUGCAACCAUAGGAUCCAUCUUGAAAACGAAUCCUAUUCUAGCAUUGAACCACAGAGGAGGUUAAAUCCCAAUUUGAAAGAAGUAGUGAAAAAAGAAAUUUUGAAACUGCUUGAUGCUGGUGUCAUCUACCCUAUCUCUGAUAGUACUUGGGUUUCUCCAGUGCAUUGCGUCCCUAAAAAGGGUGGAAUGACUGUUGUCAAAAAUGAAAAGGAUGAACUGAUCCCUACUAGAAUUAUAACUGGUCAUAAAAUGUGCAUUGAUUAUAGGAAGUUGAAUGCUACAUCUAGGAAAGAUCAUUUUCCUUUACCAUUCAUUGACCAAAUGCUUGAACGUUUAGCUAAUCAUCCAUACUAUUGCUUUCUUGAUGGAUACAGUGGUUUCUUUCAAAUACCAAUUCACCCUAAUGAUCAAGAAAAAACAACUUUCACAUGUCCUUAUGGAACUUUUGCUUAUAAGAGAAUGCCAUUUGGUUUAUGCAAUGCUCCUACAACAUUUCAGAGGUGUAUGACCUCUAUACUUUCAGACUUAAUCGAGGAGAUGGUGGAGGUUUUCAUGGACAAUUUUUCGGUCUAUGACCCCUCUUUCUCCUCAUGUUUGUUGAAUCUUGGCAGGGUAUUGACCAGGUGCGAAGAGACGAAUCUUGUUCUCAAUUGGGAAAAGUGUCAUUUCAUGGUGAAUGAAGGCAUAGUGCUGGGUCACAAGAUAUCAGAGAAGGGUAUAGAGGUUGACAAAGGAAAAGUUGAAGUGAUGAUGCAGUUGCAGCCACCAAAAACGGUGAAGGACAUCAGAAGUUUCCUUGGUCAUGCUGGGUUCUACAGAAGAUUUUUUAAAGACUUCUGCAAGAUAUCCUUCCAAACCAUCAAGGAUGCUUUGGUAUCUGCUCCGGUUGUUCGAGCGCCUAAUUGGGACUAUCCAUUUGAGAUCAUGUGUGAUGCAUUAGAUUACGCAGUAGGAGCUGUUUUAGGCCAGAAAAUAGACAAGAAGCUUCAUGUCAUAUAUUACGCCAGCCGAACGUUGGAUGACGCACAGGGAAGAUAUGCAACAACUGAGAAGGAGCUUCUAGCUGUUGUAUUCGCAUUUGAGAAGUUCAGAAGCUAUUUGGUUGGAUCAAAGGUAACGUCUAUACAGACCAUGCAGCUUUGAGGCAUUUGUAUGCCAAGAAGGAUACUAAACCAAGACUGUUGAGAUGGAUACUUUUACUGCAAGACUUUGACAUGGAGAUAGUAGAUAAGAAAGGCAUUGAAAAUGGUGCAGCUGACCAUCUCUCAAGGAUGAGAAUUGAAGAACCCCUUCCGAUAGACGAUUCAAUGCCAGAAGAGCAGCUCAUGGUUGUAGAGUUCUUGGGAAGGAGCUACAGUGGGAAAGAGUUCCACCAACUGAAUGCUGUUGAAGGAGAAUCUCCAUGGUAUGCUGAUCACGUCAAUUACUUGGCGUGCGGAGUAGAGCCUCCCAACCUGACAAGUUAUGAAAGGAAGAAGUUUUUCAGAGACAUACACCAUUACUACUAGGAUGAGCCUUAUCUUUACACUCUCUGUAAAGAUAAGAUCUACAGGAGAUGUGUCUCAGAAGAUGCAGUGGAAGUUAUCCUGCUGCAUUGCCAUGGCUCAGCAUAUGGUGGUCACUUCGCGACGUUCAAGACAGUGUCCAAGAUUCUUCAAGCAGGGUUUUGGUGGCCAACAAUGUUUAAGGACGCUCAGGAGUUUGUUUCAAAGUGUGAUUCAUGCCAGAGAAAAGGCAACAUCAGCAGAAGAAAUGAGAUGCCUCAGAAUCCAAUCUUGGAAGUUGAGAUCUUUGAUGUAUGGGGGAUUGAUUUUAUGGGUCCAUUCCCAUCUUCAUACGGUAAUAAAUAUAUACUGGUCGCCGUAGACUACGUAUCAAAGUGGGUCGAAGCUAUUGCUAGUCCUACCAACGAUGCAAAAGUUGUGCUGAAGCUAUUCAAGACCAUAAUCUUCCCAAGAUUUGGAGUUCCCAGGGUAGUAAUCAGUGAUGGCGGGAAGCAUUUCAUCAACAAGGUUUUUGAAAACCUCUUGAAGAAGCAUGGAGUAAAGCACAAGGUCGCCACUCCCUAUCAUCCAUAGACAAGCGGGCAGGUUGAGAUCUCCAAUAAGGAGAUAAAAACAAUUCUGGAAAAGACUGUUGGGAUUACAAGGAAAGACUGAUCUGCAAAGCUAGAUGAUGCAUUAUGGGCUUACAGGACAGCCUUCAAGACCCCCAUUGGUACAACUCCUUUCAAUCUUCUCUAUGGAAAAUCAUGUCAUCUACCUGUUGAGCUCGAGUACAAAGCAAUGUGGGCGGUAAAACUUCUGAACUUUGACAUAAAAACUGCUGAGGAGAAGCGAUUGAUCCAACUCAGUGACCUCGAUGAGAUCCGUCUAGAAGCUUAUGAGAGUUCUAAAAUCUACAAGGAGAGAACCAAGCCUUUCCAUGACAAGAAGAUCAUCACUAAGGAUUUCCAGGUUGGUGAUCAGGUGCUGCUAUUCAACUCUCGCUUGAAACUCUUUCCAGGAAAACUUAAAUCCAGAUGGUCUGGCCCCUUCUGUAUCACUGAGGUCCGUCCUUAUGGUGCAGUCAUUCUAGCUGGUAAGAGUGGAGAUUUUACAGUAAAUGGUCAAAGGCUCAAGAAAUACUUAACAGACCAAAUCCUUACAGAGGUGACAUCGGUUCAUUUCCAGGACCUUCUUGAUGAUUAAAGGAGUAAAGGAGUCGAGCUAAUGACUUUAAAGAAGCUCACUUGGAAGGAAGUCCCAUGACUAUCUCUGUAAAUAAAUUUUUCUUGUCUUGUUAUUUUUGAUUUGUUUUAGUUGUGUUUGUGGUUCUCAGAGACAAGGGAACAACGUAGAGAUAGAGUAAAAAUUCAAAACUUUUACUCUAUAGAAGACCUAGAGAUCGAGUGUAUAACCUGGUGGAGUACAAAAUUUUGAAAGUUUUCUGUUGCAUCUGGAGACCCGUAAUUCGAGUACGUCAGUCGAGUAUACGUGAUGUUUAAAAUCCAAAAUUUUUAAGAACAUCACUAUAGUCGACCAACAGGAGCUACGGAGACUUGUAAGGAUUUCUUGUAGUUUACAGUAGACCACGCGUUGAGGAUAAGCUGGAGAGAGAAUCUAAAACUCAACCUCCACCACUCAUUUUGAAACUUCACUCGACUUCACAAAAUCCACUCGACCUACCUCUUUUCAUCUCACCACCGACACUCCAAAGAGCCACUCUGUCCAGAUCAGUUCACUCGACCACCGUGAAUCACUCGACCUCCGCGCCGCAGUCACCAGACCAUAUCUUCCGUCACUAGACGUCCGAGAACCACUCGACCUCCGCGCCGCCGGCACCAGAUCAUUUCCUACUUCACUCGACUAUCCCUGCACCGCCGUAAUCAAGUACUCCUCCUCGUUCACCGUCGAAGUCUCCUGGACCACUCGAUUACGAGAAAGCUACUCGACCACAAAGUAUCACUCGACCUCGAGUAUUCACUCGACCUCUGCAGCAGCAACUUGGCCUCUUGUUCUUGAAAGCAACGGAGCCCUGAAGAAUUGUCAAAGUGUUUACUCGACCUCUAGGCUUCACCGGCUGAACCCGACAUCCACAAUUCACUCGACCUCCAGGAACAGCUCAGGUUACUCGAGUACAGAAUUGUACUCGAUCAAUUCAAUCUAUUUCAUUGCCUAUUGAUAACAAUUUUGGUUUCAUUGCUAUCUUUGAGACUAACCUAUUGACAUUUGAGCUUUGAGUUUUAAAUUUCUACAGGAGAAUCAUGAGCAAUUAUAGUGGCAGCUCUUCUGUUGAUCCUGACUACAACAUGGAUGAGACAGAGUCGUCAUCUUCAAGGCCAGAGAGAGAACAGAGAGAAUAUGAAAGCUUCAGAAGGAAAGCUGAGAUAGCCCGAGGAAAGAGAGCGAUGACAGAGAGGUAUGAGCUUAUAGAAGAAGAUCUGGAAGACGAGUACAUGCCUGAACAGACUCGCAGAUCUACCAAACUUCUGCACAAGCCCGACGUAUUGCUUGCUGAGGAAUAUGUUAGGCUUUUCAAGCUGAAUGAGUUCUGUAGCACGAGGUAUCCUUGCUUGACCAAACUUGCACAACUCGGAUUGUUGGAAGAUGUUCAGCACCUGUACCAUAGUUGUCAUCUAGACACUCUGAUGGCUUAUCCGUAUGUAGUGUAUGAAGAUGAGACAAUACAAUUCCUCUCCACGCUGCAAGUAGACCUCUACCAAGGUAUGACCUCUGAUGAGUUGGAUUGUGAAGGAUUGGGAUUCUUGCGAUUCUCUGUGUAUGGUCAUGAGUAUAGGUUAUCAAUCAAGCGCUUGGAAGGAUUGUUUGGCUUCCCCAGUGGAACGGGAUCUAAGCCCAAGUAUGACAGAGAAGAGUUGAAAGACUUGUGGAUCACCAUUGGCAGCUCUGUACCGCUGAAUUCUUCCCGGUCAAAGAGCAAUCAGAUACGCAGCCCUGUCAUCAGGUACUUCCAGCGUUAUAUAGCCAAUGUACUCUACUCGCGAGAGAUCACAGGGACUGUUACUAACUCUGAUAUGGAGAUGAUCGCAAUGGCCCUCAAGGAAAUUCUUCGCCAAACUAAGAAUGGUAUGUCUCUCCAAGGUGAAAUCAAUGACACACCUCUCUCUGUACAUCUUCUGAUCCAUCUGUAUGGAUACAAGAGCUGGGCUGUCAGCAAUAAUCAGAAGAGAGCACGAGGCGCUCUGUGCAUAGGUGGUGUUGUGACACCGAUUCUGAUAGCUUGUGGAGUCCCCAUCAUUUCUGCUGGACUCGAGCCGCGAGCCAUGGACAUCGAGCACCUACGUCACUGCGAAUUUCUGGAGUUUGCAAUGGUUGACGAUUUCCAUAGGUUCAGGUUUGAGCACUCUACAAACAGGAGAGCUACCAUCCUUCUCCCUAGCCCUAAGGUUACACGGAUAAUAGAGGGAGAUAAUAUUGAUUUUUGGCCUGAGGUUGGACACCUCUACUAUGAGAACGCUUUGCCAUUGGAUGAGGAUGAUCUUCUAGAAGAAGCUGCUUCGGGUGGGAUGGAUGAAGAUAGAGCAGUGGAGUUCGACACUAGCAUGUAUCACUUUGGUGAACAUGUACCUCCAGCGAGGCAGAGCAAGAGCUUGACUGAAGCUCAUAAGAACAACAGUAAAUUGCAGAAGUGGUGCAAGAAGCAGGACAAGCUGAUCGCCAAGUGUUUCAAGCUUCUAACAGAUAAGCUGAGUUGUUCCUCCUCCACCACUGCUAUUCCACAGGGACAACCUCCUCUGGAGAUGCCAUCGAGGAGAUUUAAUGAGCUUGCGCACAAGCCUUAGCUUAGCGAGCAGAGAGUCUGACAUGUCCAGGCUAGGCAUUCGUCAUUCGAGUCCCGGGAGCACAAGAGAAGAAGGAAGGCUACACUCACUAGACCUAGCAGCAGAUCACGCCUCAUUCACUCAAGGAGAUCACUCGACCGCGGCGCUGGCCGCAGCAGAAGGAAAGAGGUCGAGUAUCCUCAGAGCGGUAUUGGCCGCCACAGAGCUGAUGAGGUCGAGUACCCACCUGCUGGAGCUGAUAAAGAUAAGGUGGAUCGUCUAUAGCCUGGGAGCAAUCAGAGGCAGCAAUUGACGAGCAACUACGUUCAUUCUUUGACUGAGGUAAGCGCCUCACUUCACCAUUGUAUUAUAUCAUCUGUUGUGAUUUGUUUCUUCAUUUUUUGUUUUUGUGAUUGGAUUUGUCCUGAGUACUCUCUUCCAAGUUUAUUUGCACAGUGGACUGUGUGAUUUAAGUUUGGGGGAGGGCUCAGGAAGUGUGUGUUGCAUUGUGUAUAUUUUUGAGUCUGCAUUCAUCUAAGGCAUAGAAAAAACAAAAAAA